AUUGAACGCUGGCGGUAGGCCUAACACAUGCAAGUCGAGCGGAUGAAGGGAGCUUGCUCCUGGAUUCAGCGGCGGACGGGUGAGUAAUGCCUAGGAAUCUGCCUGGUAGUGGGGGAUAACGUCCGGAAACGGGCGCUAAUACCGCAUACGUCCUGAGGGAGAAAGUGGGGGAUCUUCGGACCUCACGCUAUCAGAUGAGCCUAGGUCGGAUUAGCUAGUUGGUGGGGUAAAGGCCUACCAAGGCGACGAUCCGUAACUGGUCUGAGAGGAUGAUCAGUCACACUGGAACUGAGACACGGUCCAGACUCCUACGGGAGGCAGCAGUGGGGAAUAUUGGACAAUGGGCGAAGGCCUGAUCCAGCCAUGCCGCGUGUGUGAAGAAGGUCUUCGGAUUGUAAAGCACUUUAAGUUGGGAGGAAGGGCAGUAAGUUAAUACCUUGCUGUUUUGACGUUACCAACAGAAUAAGCACCGGCUAACUUCGUG
This 484-nucleotide ribosomal RNA is filed under the name uncultured bacterium. RNAcentral describes it as "partial 16S ribosomal RNA". It matches the Rfam family "Bacterial small subunit ribosomal RNA", at positions 30 to 507 of the family's 1533-position model. The record is from RNAcentral.